Molecule: ribosomal RNA, 250 nt
Filed under: Arabidopsis thaliana (thale cress)
Lineage: Eukaryota; Viridiplantae; Streptophyta; Magnoliopsida; Brassicales; Brassicaceae
Source: RNAcentral
CGAAUUUUUUCAUGCAUCAAAGCUCGUUAAGACUAGAUGGUAUAUCCCUACAUAGCGGGUGGGACCCACGGCGAAUGGUUCAUCAAGUCUUCAAAAAAGAAUAUAUACGAUUGCAUUGCAUAUACUAACGGAUGCGAUCAUGCCAGCACUAAUGCACCGGAUCCCAUCAGAACUCCGCAGUCAAGCGUGCUUGGGCGAGAGUAGUACUAGGAUGGGUGACCUCCCGGGAAGUCCUCGUGUUGCAUCCCUC